Hypanus sabinus (Atlantic stingray) is the source of this 1278-nucleotide long non-coding RNA. RefSeq lists it as uncharacterized. NCBI's taxonomy places the organism in Eukaryota, Metazoa, Chordata, Chondrichthyes, Myliobatiformes, Dasyatidae. The transcript has 4 exons. The record is from RefSeq and is a predicted model, not a curated record.
CUGACAUCGAAAGGAAGUACAGAUUUGUCAAUGAAAACAAGGCUCAAAUCUGUGAAUUGUUGACCAGCAGAAGAGGUGAGGCAUCAUCCCCUUCUUUCACGCGCUCCUCAGCUUUGGGCAGGCAUGGAGAGAGGAAACGGCACUCCGUACUUGACAUCGGGAAUGUGUGAAGAGACGAUGAUUCACUUUGUGUUUGACCCGAGCAAACGUGUUCCAAGGACUGGAUGAAAAAUAGAGACCGGUGUUAUUACGUAUCCACGUUUGAAACGUCUUCCCACAAAGCGAUGCAUGAAUGUUUAAGCCGUGAUUCAAGGCUGCUGGAAAUCAAUUCAAGGGCUGAAGCGAAUGUUGUUUUCAACGCUCCCGUACUUCUCAACGGAUCAUAUGGAUUGGAAGAUGCGAAGACGGGGAAGAAGCUGUUAGUCUUAUGAUCACUCGAACUUCUGUCUGCGGUAACUGACUCGUACGAAUGGAGAUUCCCUUGCAACGGUCAACACCUUUUCGUCUGCGAAAAGUCUGCACAUUUGUGCACGGAUAUUCCUGAAAAGAUCCAGGAUCUCUGUCAACAGUCCCUAGGGCCAACUUGAAUCACAUUACAAUCCGUUUUGCUCACUCGUCUAUCUUCCUCACUCUUAUCCACCUCAUCCUCAUAUUCCCGCUUCAGACACCCUGUCCCUUACCCAACCAUUCUCCUCCACUGUAUUCAUCCUCUUCCCCCCACAUUCACCUACAUUCCUCUUUCACUAUCAAUCUCCUUCCUUCGCGCCACCUCUCCCACUCUUCCCUCCCCCGCACUGUUCUCCUCACCUCCUUUUCUUUUAUCUCUGUCCCUCCUCCAGCCAAUCUCACCUCACUCCUCUGCACUCUGGUCCACUGAUUACCCAUCCUGGGAUACAGAAUUGUGCGGAUUCACUCUAUUUAUGUCCCUCGGGGUGUUAUACACCUCUAUAGUGGUACACGUGCUCCCCAAAAAAUAAACUCCUCACGCCAGACCGGUCUCCACAAGUCAGCCACCCGAAUCCCAGCAACAUCCUCGUAAAUCUCCCUCUGCACUCUUUCCAGCUCAUCUUUCCUACUGCAGGGCGACCAGAACGAACACAGGACUCCAAGUGUGGGUUCACCGAUGACUUGUACAACUGCAAUGUGAUCUCCCGACUCCUGUACUCAGUGAACACCAGCGUGCCACAUGUCCUGUCUAUCUGUAUCGCGUGUUUGCAACCGGAAUCACCAUCUGACUUAUUGUCUGUGACUUAUACCACCCGAGAGUUGAUCAUUUCU